This 483-nucleotide ribosomal RNA is filed under the name uncultured bacterium. RNAcentral's name for it is "partial 16S ribosomal RNA". It matches the Rfam family "Bacterial small subunit ribosomal RNA", at positions 30 to 507 of the family's 1533-position model. The record is from RNAcentral.
UUGAACGCUGGCGGCAGGCCUCACACAUGCAAGUCGAGCGGAUGAAGGGAGCUUGCUCCUGGAUUCAGCGGCGGACGGGUGAGUAAUGCCUAGGAAUCUGCCUGGUAGUGGGGGAUAACGUCCGGAAACGGGCGCUAAUACCGCAUACGUCCUGAGGGAGAAAGUGGGGGAUCUUCGGACCUCACGCUAUCAGAUGAGCCUAGGUCGGAUUAGCUAGUUGGUGGGGUAAAGGCCUACCAAGGCGACGAUCCGUAACUGGUCUGAGAGGAUGAUCAGUCACACUGGAACUGAGACACGGUCCAGACUCCUACGGGAGGCAGCAGUGGGGAAUAUUGGACAAUGGGCGAAAGCCUGAUCCAGCCAUGCCGCGUGUGUGAAGAAGGUCUUCGGAUUGUAAAGCACUUUAAGUUGGGAGGAAGGGCAGUAAGUUAAUACCUUGCUGUUUUGUCGUUACCAACAGAAUAAGCACCGGCUAACUUCGUG